This is a non-coding RNA of Rattus norvegicus (Norway rat), 19148 nucleotides long. The record is from RefSeq and is a predicted model, not a curated record. NCBI's taxonomy places the organism in Eukaryota, Metazoa, Chordata, Mammalia, Rodentia, Muridae.
UUGUUUACUCAUUGUACUUCCUUCCUUCCCUGCUCUUAUGAAUUUGAUGUGUGGGGACUGGGUAAGAAUAUACCUAAGAUUUCGGUUAUUAAGGCAUACCAGCUAUGAGGAAGUGUCACCCUACAUCUGACUCUUACACCCUGGACAUUUUAGACAGGGAGCUUUGGACAACCACAGAUUAAGCUUUUGGGUUGCUCCUUUGUAAGGACAUGGAGACUAUGUUCUGUUUGUGAGCAGGGUUAAUAUAGAUGCUGCUGGCUGGAGAGAAAAGCUGUAGAAAAGACAAACAGUGCUGCCCAGAGCAGAAUGCUCUUAUUUCAUAAUAGAGGACACCACACACACACACACACACACACACACACACACACACACACACACACACACACAGCACCACCACUAAACCAGAACAACAACAACCGAAAAAAAAAUCUGCUUAUUUUUAAGGCCUUUGUAAUGAGGUAGGACCUUUCAGCAGUGAAACAUGAACUUGUCUAGAUGUGAAAUAUUCGCCACAGCUUGAGGCUUGGUCCCCACCAGAUAAUGAUUUGAGAAAGUGAUGGGAAAUCUAGUGGUCACUUCCCACAUGCCUCUAGGAAGAUGCACAGCCACACUGUGGUCCUGGGCAGAGAUGGGAGUAAUGCUGCUCACACAGUGUGACGGUGAACCCUGAUUGUCGAUCGACAGGAUUUGAAAUCACCCAGGAGACGAACCUCUUGGGAUGUCUCAGAGAGAGUUUCUAGAUUGUGUUAAAUAAGAUAGGAAGAUGGAUCCUGAAUGCAGAUGGUAUUAUGCCAUGGGUACCAUUCCAGACUAAAUAAAAAGGAGACCGUGAACUGAGCUACAGCACUUGUUUCUCCCUGAGCUUCCUGACCGGGUGCAGUGGGACCAGCUUCCUCAAACUCCAGCCAGCAUGGCUUUACCUGCCGUAAGGUACAGCAACCUCGCUCUUAAUUAUCCUUAAGGUGCUUUUGUCAUGGCAGCUGGAAAUCUAACUGAUACAAUCAGUACGGGCUUUUCCCAUACUCAGAACUCUAGCUCUGACUAGUCCUCUACCAGAAACAGCUGUUCCUUUCUCAAUCAGCUGUCUGGGUUAAUCUUGGAACACUCUCAUGGCUGCCAUAAAUCUUAUUUCCACUCACCACUGUCUGUUGGCAGGCUUUAGCAUGGAAUCUUCGUGCUGUAGGCUUACACAGGCCUCCUACAGCCUCCUCUAGGUAUGUUGGCUUUCCUAAGACUUUCAGCAGAGCUCACUGCUCCUGUUCCUCUGCACCCUGAUUUCUUACUUAUCUACACUGUAUUCCCCUUUCCUUUGUACAGGGACUUCUAAUCCGUUUGGGAUAUUUAUGAAAGAAGCGUGAAAGGAAGAAGAACAAUUUGAAACAUCGUGUGUGAUUUCCUAACAAAGCUCCAGCCAAACUGAUAUGUGUCUUUGAAAUGAGCCCUGUGAUUCCUGUCCCUUCUGUCCUGAUUCUGCUGUCGCCUUCAUCCAGGUGGGAAGAAAAUGGAGUCUCCUUUGUUGUGCAGCCUCCGAUGUGGCCUCUGAUGACUCAUGCCUGUUUGUCUUCAUGUUCUGGCAACUUACCUUUACACUGAAGAGGGUAGACUGGUGUAAACAAUAGGACAGCAACAAAAUGGUGAAGGAUGUGACCUGACCUUUGGAGAGAACCUGAGCUGAUGAAGAGAGAGGUGAUCAUGAGGAGCCCAGAUCUUGUGAGCCUGUUCAACUUGAAAUACAUUGCUGCUGGUCCUGUCUCCGGAAUUUCAACUCAGUGUGCCAAUAUACCACUUCUAUUUGUUUAAUCCAUUUGGAAUUAAGACAUCAAGCAGUUGUGUGGAUUGGUAAGCAAAGACCCAUAAAACAUUCGGUACAGUGCUUCAAACUUCCUCCAGAUUGGGAUAUGUGUUACCACAGUUUACUAUGACUAUUUUAGCUGCUAUAACAAAAUCAUUAAAAUUUUAUCAUUCUAAUAUGCAUAUGGGUCCAAAAGAAUUACUGAUAGUCUCUACACUUGCUGAAAAAUAUUGGGAGAGAAAUCCAAUACUUACUGGUUUCCUGAAUCAUUUAAUACAUGCAAAGUCCUAAGAACGAACCACAUUGAUUAUAGCAAUUGACAAUAAUCAGCUGAACCAACCAUGGCCAACUGGAUGGCUGGGUCUCUAUUGUUAAUAUGAAAUGGCCAACAGCAGAGUCAACAAUGAUGGGAACAGGAUAGGCUAAAGAUCCCUGAGCUAUGCAAUCUGACAAACAAGGGAUCAAAUAUCUGUAAUUCAUAAGUCAUAUAGUAUGGAUUUGUACCAUAAAAAUCUCUGGGCUAUGUAAAAUGUGGCUAUAAGAUAAUUGUGACGAAUCAAUGGCAUUGUAAUAAUGACCUUCUCACUAUCGCCUGGCCCAGAUUGUAAACCUCCACAGUGAGUAUUAAUUUUGACGUCUGAGUUAUAUUGACAAUCCAAGAUAAAGGAGUUCAACUCCAAAGUGAUAUAAAUUAGUCUUUAACAUUUUAAUGGUCAAAAAUAUUGAUUAACUCUUAUUUCAGCAAAAUAAAUAUGAUGCAUGCAAAUAAUUGAAAUGUUCAGUUGUGAGACUAAAUGAAAAUGAGAAUUUACUGUGUAAUCUAAAGGAAUGCAAUUUUGAAAUAUUAAGCACCUGCCAACAUAUAAGCUAUCAGUGCGUGACCAUGCAGUGAGCUAAGACUAUAGGUAUUCUUCCUUGGUGAGAUGUAAGUUUGUGGGCAAACAGUUGUAACGGUAAUCUGAUGAGCAGAAUAUGACUGCUGAAGUAUUCAGUUCCCUGAAGAAAUGUUGAUGAAAGUUAAUGAUAUUAAUGAAGUAACACUGGGCAGAAGCUGGCCCAAAACAUACAUAAAUUUCAACGUAAGGUUAAAGUUUCUUUCUUCAAAGUAAAUUAUAUUCAGGUUGAUGGGGUUAGUGUAGGGAUUGGAGCUAUGGAUGCCUCAUGCUAUGCUUCUGCCAUAGUCAAUAAUACAUAAAAGACAUGGAGAAAGAUGCUAGCUCUGGACAGCGCUUGUGGAAAUGCAAGGUCUUUAAAAUAACAGUACCCGAGGCAGAAUGCCUUUCUCUUUUUCCUUCCCAGUUUCACUUGAUUCUUUCUAGGUAAAUAAAAAGGUCCCCACCCUGAACAAAUAGAAAAUGACUCAUAAAUGACAGUGCUCAAGUCACACCUGAGAAAAGUUGUCAUUAAAGAUGAGCUAAAGGGAAAAGUAUAAAAGACAGUCUUGUGUAAAUGUAUAACAGACCUUAAAAUCUAAGUUAAAUGGUCCUCUGUUUAUUGGAGGGACACUAUGUAGCUCAUAAAAGACAAAAUGACAUGAGCCAGGCAGUGUUUGUACCUCUGUGAAAAACUGUUAACUCUCUUGUAAGCAUGUACCCAAGAAUAUUGAAGGCAAUCAGGCAAGAAGCAUAUAAAAACGCUCACAGAGGUUUUUUUCAUUAUAGUCCCGAAGGAAGCUACUCAGAUGUUCGACAGCAGCAGAACUAAACCAGGAUGUUGAUACACGAAGACAGUAGGUAGCAAUGGAAGCAAGUUAUCCACUGCUGUAUUCAACAAAGCCAAUUAAUUAAGCAAAAUACAAAAGAGAUGAUAGCAUGUUGAUCAGUUUUAAUAAAAUGACUCUGAAAGGCGAAAUGAACCCACAGAUCCAAAAGUAGUUUCCUUGAGAAGGUAAUGGUGCCUGGGAGAAGUCUUAAGGGAAUUUUCUAAAUUGCAGGGUAUGCUGUGGUUUUUGUUUGAGAGUUGCAUUGUUGUGGAUGAGUUCAGUGAAUAGACAGUCACUGGAUAGACUUGAAUACUUUUCUCCACUAUGUUAUACUCUGAUUAUAAUUAUAUCUAUAUAUAAUUAUAUACAGGCCUAUAAUUACAGGUACCCAGGAAAGUGGGACAGGAGAAUCAUAACUCCUGCCUUACUCUGGCUACAGAGUUGAGCUUAAGGACAGUAUGGGCAACUUAGUGAGAAAUGUUUCUCAACGCUUUGUAAAAUGAGAAGAGGGCCCAGAAUAUAGUUCAAUGGUAGUGCAUUUACUAAGCACAUAUGAGACUCUAGGAUUAAUCUGCAGGACCAGCAUCUCUUAAAACAAGAAGGAAAUCAAGAGUAGAGACAGAUUUAGAAUGGGGGAAAUGGGAAUUGAUAUCUAGAGUAUGAAAAGAACAACAACAAUAACAACAAAAUAACCCUAGUAGUGAAAAACCAAAUAGUCUACCUGAAAAUACACAGUAGACCCAUAAAGAUAACUCUCAGAAAAGGGUAUAAUGCCAUGAGUAUUGCUCCAAGUAUAUGUACAAAGGAAAUGACAAAAAUGUGUCAGAGACUGCUACUUACCAUGUUCCCUGUUCUCAGUGGCCAUGCAAUGGAGCAAUGGAGAGUCAAUUCAGUGACAAAAGGAAUUCACAGUGUGGUGGAUGGAUGGAUAAAUGGAUGGAUGGAUAGGUGGAUGGAUGGAUGGAUGGAUGGAUGGAUGGAUAUAGAUAUAGAUGAUACAGACACAGAUUUAGAUAUAUAGAUAGAUAUAGAUAUAUUGUGGGAUACUACGUAGAUCCCCCAAAACAAAGUCCUUUAAUAUGAAAUGAGAAGACUGUAACUUUUAUGUUAUGUGAAGUAAGUCAGACACAGGAAGAAAAGAUCUGCAUCAUCUUGCCCAUGAAGCAAAAUCAUGGUUCUUGUCUCUUCAAUUUGAUGAAAAAGAAGCAGUAACUGGAUCUAAUAGGAGGUUAGAGUAGAAAUACUGUUUAUCUAGAGACUGGAGAGAAUAAGGUGAAGCAGCACAUGGGGGAACAUUGAUCAAUGCAUCCUAAGUAUAGGAAGAAAAAUUAUAAUAAUACUUUCUGGUAUUCUGUAAACAAUAGGGAGAAUAGAGAAAGCCAUUACGUACUGUCCCAUUUCAUAGUGCUCCAAGAAAGGGUCUUUAUCACAAAGUGAGGUCUGAGGAGACAGAGGUGUUUAAUCUGAGUUAAACAUUAUUAUCCAGUGUAACAUUGUUUGUUCCUGCAGAGGACCCAGGUUCAGUUCUCAGCAACUACAUGGUGACUCACAACUGAUGAUAAUUUUAGUUCCAGGGCAUCCAGUGCCCUGUGGCCCCCUUAUUCAGUAGGCACUCGAGUGGCACUUAUAUAGACAUUCAGGCAAAACAUGCAUACACAUACAAUACAAAUAAAAUUUAAAUAUCUUUAAAAACAGAGAGGCUUUCUAUAAAAAUUUUUCAUUUAAUAAAAUUUUUUCUUAGUUAUCCAGUUUACAUUCUGUUCACUGCCCCUGACCUGGUCACUCCCUGCUACAAUCCUUCCCUCCAUGUCCCCUUCUCCUCUGAACAGGUGCCCACCCCUAGAUAUCCCCCCACCCUGGCACUUCAAGUCUCUUUGAGGUGCUUGCUCUCCCACUGAGGCCAGACAAGGCAGCCCAGCUAGAAGAAUAUAUUCCAAUACAGGCAACAGCCUUUGGGAUAGCCCCCAUUCCAUUUGUGUGUUUCAUUAGAUAGUGGAAGGAGGCUGCAGGGGAGGGUCAGGAGUAGCUUGGAUUGGAAGAGACAAGGUAAAGGAGAAUCACUAGAAUACACUGAGUUUGUAGUGUUGUAAUGCCAUAUAACAACUUACAUUCACAUUUAAAAAAACUUUGAAAAUUUAAACUUGAAAAUACCUAGUUAAGGAAGAAAACAAUAGAGAAUAAGUGAAUAUGAAUUAUGUAAUAUAUAUAUAUAUGCCAUUAUAAAACACUGAUUUGUAACAUGAAUAUGAGUCAACAAAAAAUGUCUUUUGUGAGGAAUGGAAAGAUAGCUCAGUGGUUAAGAGCAAAGCUGUCCAGAGAACCCAGGUUCAAUUCCCAGCACAUACAUGACAACUUACCACUGUCUACAACUCUAGCUCUAAGGGAUCCAAUGCUCUCACCUGUCCCAACAAGCACUGAAUACAUGUGGUAUAUAGACAUACAUGCAAUCAAAACACCCAUCCACAUGUAAAAACGUGUCCUUUUACAAUAAAUAAGCAAAGCUCUGGGUUUCGUCAGGUAGUACAACAACCUCCACUUCCAAAGACAACUCUAUGUUUUCAAAAACUUUGCUGUUGGGUGGUACCAGGAAAGCAGACCUUGGUGGUGAUGUGCUUCGCUCUGGUUUAUAAAUUAGCCCACCUCAUGGUCAGCACGGUGAGUACUUGACAGGACUUUUCAAGCUCAUGGACUUUUACUUAAAAUCAGAUAAAAUAUAUUUUUUUCUUUUUAAAUCAGUCUGACUUUGUUAAGACUAAAAUUUUUAAUCCUUUUAUAUCAUCUUCAGUAAGUAACUAAUUUUUUUACUCUGACUAAAUCGCUACGGAACAUAAAGCUUUGUUAACAUUUUGGCAGGCAUUAGUGAAAGAGCCAAUUAAAGGUAUCACUCUUGAGUCUGAGAACACACACACUAUAAUACUUAUACGAAGUCUCAAAUUAUGCUAUGUUGGGUUUUAUUUUUAAUUAAAUUUACUUGUAACUAAUCUGAGAAAAAACAAAUAUUGAACAUAUUGACAGCAUAAUGCGCUAUUUUAUUUUAAUUCACACAUUUUGAUCGUUACACUGUCUAAUGUUUAAAUCAUGUUAAACACAUCUGUCUCCUCACAUUCCGCAUGGACCGUACCUGUAUGAUGAAGACCCUCACCAUCCUUUCUUGGAGCCUUUAGAAACGGGAUGAUGUCAUCUGAGAUCUCCCACUGUUAAUAUCACACCAGGAAUUCUUGUUGUUUUCGUUCUCUCCUGUUACCUUUUAUAUCCUGUGCUAGUGCUGGCACCUAGGGCCACAUGGCACUGCAGAGUAUCUUGAGCCCUUCCAGCAUAGAACCUUGCCACACUGGUCCCUGGAGUUAGUUCUGGCACCAGAGGGCCAGAUGGAACUAACCAUAAUUUAAUCUCUGGUGAGUAUCUCUCCUGGCAGCUCUCUACUAGCCACAAACUCUCUGGUUCCAGCUACCUGGUAAAAUUAGGGCUCUAGAAAUCGAGCAUGGGGCUGGCCUAUCACAGCUCCCUGCCAUAGACUCUGUCCACACUCCCAGUAACAGCUCCCUGGAAGUUAAAGUAUAAACUCCCAACUACCUGAUGAAAUCAUGAUUUAAUAAACUGUAACAACAAUCAGAUUUACAUGUUAAAUUCUCAAUCCACAACACAUCCACACAAUAAACUCACAACCAAUUGAUAAAGAUAUAAACCACCCACAUCGAUAAGAUAAAUUGACCUAUAGAAAUCCAUGCCUUAAGAAAUAUUCAUAGCAACCUGCAUCUAUGUAGAGAUGCAUGGUGAGGAUCAUUUAUGUCUGAGACCAUCAUGUGGUCUCUUUCUUUCUAAAACUUCUGUUCCUGCCUCCUUUCCUUCUCAUUCAAUGUCAGGCUUUGUUUUGUCUUGUGUCUGCCUUCACCUGCAUAAUGACAUUAACCUACAUCUUUCUAUAACUUAGUAUGUAUUCAUCAACCCUACCCCAGCCAUUCUUCCUCUGUAUUCUCUCCAGUCACAAUUUCUAUUACUCUUGAUGUAAAAGGUAUUUAGUUCAUGGGGUAGCUCACAUUUAGGAUGAGAAAAAGUCACAUAGUAAGUUCAGCUAAAGGGAUCCUGUGAUCAUUAACUUCUGCAUCAGAAAAAUCCUUUUCCCAAACCACCAAUAAACAAUGACCAUAGCCAGUUUCCAAUCUAAACGUCCCUUAGCAUGGCAAAGCAGAAUCAACCUACUCUUGCAAAGAGAUAAAGUGUUUGAUGAAUCUGCAACAUUAAAGGCCACCACAGGCUGCUCUCUCUUUCAUUCUGAUAGUUGUUGGCUAAUGUUUAGAAAUGGGCCCUUUUCUACUCCUGCAUUCCAAAAAAAUGAUGUGGCCAGAAACUCAUUAAAUAAAAAAUAGAAUGUCUUCAUUAAGAGUGCCUGGGACUAGUGGAGUUGUCAGUUUCAGAGUUUUGAAAUACGGGCCCGAUGGGGAAUGAAGAGACUUGGCACACUAAAGAUGCAGCUGGAGUAGUUUUAGCAGAGGCUGAGGUUUUUCUGGGGGUAGCAUACAAACAGAAGGGUGGCCGUGAAACCAAAGAGCGUUCUAGGCAGGAGGACAGGCUGAGCAGAAGGACAGUAAUAGAGAUAAAUGUUCAGCAUGACAUAUGAGAAGAAAAGCUGGGGCGACAGAAAAGAGAACUGAUUUACACUCUGCUUCCCAGAACCUGAGAAGCAUCACUGGAUAGUGAGUUCAGAACACCCUCCGGUGGGAGGCUCUUACUGAAAUUGCUCAGGUGGUUUCAGGUUUCAUUAGGGGGAAGUUUAUUACCUGAAGCAAACACAGCUGAUGAGCACAGCCAUUUUUCUCUAAGUCCAUACUAUCUUUAAAAAAAUAAAUAUAAAGUUUAUCUAGCGAUUCCAAUGUAUAUGUCCUCAAACACCAUAAAGAAUCACUAUUUUUUCUACUUGCCUUGCCAGCUAGGUUUUUUUAUCUGAAAUUUUGUAAACAUGAACUUUGAAGUUGAAUUUUACAUUUCCUUCUAAAAAUAAUAUGUUGAAAAAUUGAAUGUAAACUCUAUAGGAUGUUCAAUUAAGGACCAGUGGCUACCAUUCGGUCAUAUAACAACAUAACUUCCUUUGAAGAAAUGAGGGGAGGCUAACUGAGUUGGAGAAUAAAUCUCAGUGGCAUCAGAAUUUGGGGGACUAAAGUGAGGACUUCUUUGUCUUCUUUCUUUCCUCAGCUCCAACCCCAAUGCCUGGCAUUAAAUUAUUCAUCAGUAAAUGCUGAGGUUUAAACACACUGUACAUCCUAGUCAAGAUGCUCCAUUGAGACCAUCUCCAUGGUAACAUGGUACAAAUGAACAUGUACAAAAGUUGCCUAGGCUGGUGUUAGGUAAUAUAAAAAUCAUAAAAAGAGAUAGGAACACUUCGAUGGAUCCAACGCUCCUUGUGCAAGAUGGAGGACUUGAGUGAAGAUAUCCCCUUGAGCUACAUAAACUAGGCAUGAAGCACUAAUCUACAAUCAGAGGCUCUAUGAGAAGAGGAGGAGCAGAGACAGGAGAGUCCAAUAGCCUAUUGCCUGUUAUACACACAAUGGAAUAAGAGACCCUAUGUUGAUCAAGGUAGCAGGAAAGGAUCAACAUGCAAGGUUAUCCUUUAACCUCCUCAUGAUGCCAUAGCACACAAACAUGCACACAAGAGAUAGAGAGAGAGGGGGAGGGACAGAAGGAGGGAGAGGCUACAAAGUAAAUAGUACAAAAUAGAGUAUAUAAGGACUAUAUUUUAAACAAUAAUUCUAAAACACUUUUUAUUCGUGAAUCCCAAGUGACCACUCUACUUUCCACAGGUUUUCCUGUGUUUCAAACAGUCUCCCUUGCAAAUUUAGCUGCCGUUGACCAUCUUGAGUCUACCAUUGAGGCUAUUGGAACUAUGAGGAGACAUAAUGACCACUAGAAGAAAAUAGUGUGGGUUUCUGGUGACACAAACAUCUGAGUCUGCUUUAGCUGUCAACGAAGAGCUUCCAGAAGAGUCGACUUGAGAUAAAUUCCCCUCUCCUGGGACUUUAGGACUUCACUCUUAAAGAAAAUGUCUACAGUGUCAGUGCCAAGAAAGGAAGACUGAGGCACAAAGUGUGCAGUGUAGUUUCUGGUUUUACAAAGAAAAAUCUCAAGCAUAUUAGCAGCUGGAUGUAGGGCAAGCACAUGCAUUUCCAUAUCAAACCAACAUGCUCACAGGAGAAUGAUCUGUCUUUAUAAACUGGAGAAUCUUGCAAAUUGAUCUCAUGGGAAUGUUUUCCCAGGACCUGAAUCUUACGCAUACGUUUCAAAAAUGAAUCAAAGGGAAAUGGCAGUAUUUCAAAUAAAAUUAGCCAUAGGCAGGCAAAAAGUUCUGAAAUCACACAUUUUAACAGACCCUAUACUACCUAGCUACCUAGAAGACAUCCAGAAGCUUUGCAAGAAAGCAAGUCACAGUCUACAUUGUUAAUUCCUCAGCUGCACAGCUGGUGUUCCAGAGGUAACUCUGUUGGUGAGGCAACAGCCUAUUUACAUGGAAGGAAGCAGCAAAGCAUUUCUGUACCCAGACUAAGUCUCACCACAGGAUGCUAGGCCAGACUGUGUACACAGCACCCCACAUGAGUCCUCAGUGCAGGUGAAAUGGAACUGAAGGUGGGCUUGCUAGAUCUGUGCUCGUUAUAGUAUCUAUAUGAGAGGGUUGUGGUAAGAUAAAUCAGUAGCCUGCAGUAACCCACCCAGUUACUACAUCAUCAAAGGAGGCCUGGAGACAUGAUCAGGAAUAUAGGUUUUGAUUCCUAAUAAGGUUCCUGGAGUUCAGAAUCUCUCAGUUGUUAUUUUUCACUUUGGAGCAUUUACAGAAUAAGUCUUACACCUUUGCUUCCUCACAGGCAAAACAACAAUGAGUCCUUCUUACUACAGACAGAAAUCAGUCUCUAGGUUGUGAGGACUCAGGUAUAAUGCUUUGCUUACACUAAAAGCCACAACCUUUUCUCGGAAGGACCAGAUAGUAAGUAAAUGUGUGUGGCUUGGGGAAGGAGGGCAGUUUGUGAACUGUCACAACAACACACUCUACUCGGGCAGAGCACAAAAGCUGUCACAGAGAAUUAACGAGUGGCUUUAUCUCUCCAAAACUCUGGGCAUGGAAGAGCCACAUACUGCUCAGGCUGCAAGGUGUGACAGUUUAUAGAUUUCCUAGCAAUAUUAUUAUACUUUGUUCAACUCCAAGCAUUACAUAAGCUGGUCAUAGUCAUAGGCACACACCUAUAAUGGCAGAUGUUUGGAAGUAGAAACAGCAGGAUCUGGUGUUCUAGGCCCUUCUUGGCUCCAAACUAGAGAACCUGUAUCAAUGAGGAUAAGAAUGAGAGGAAACAAUAUAUCAAAAAUAAAUCCAAGCACAGCAAAUUGUUUCCAACAUUCCACAGACUUCAUGAGUGCUUCGUGUAUAUUUGUUUAUCAAAUCUUGGACUGGGAAUGUAGCUCAAGGCCGUGAUCACGUACUUGCUUAGCAUACGCAAGGCCCUAGGAUCGCUUUCCUCACUAAUAAAGAUCAGUCCUGUGCAUCUGUAGUAGAAGCAGGCGUAUCAAACAUUUAAAGUUAGCAUUGGUUGCACAGUGAAGUUCAAAUCAGGCUACAUGAGUCUGUGUCUCAAAAGAUAAAAACAAACACUCAAACUAAAAUGUACUCGUUGUCUGUCACUUUCAAGGUAAAGGUGGAUGCUGCUCCUGUUUUGAAAAUGUCAUUUUUAAGUAAUUGAUACAAUGCUGCACAGUUACUGACCUCCGGAGUUAGGAUCUGAGUGAAGGCCUAGGUUUUGCUCUCUGUGCUCUUCACCAGUCUUUCUGACUGUGAUGUGGGAGUAACUUGGCUUUGAGAUAGAGAUUGCAUACUGUUUGGUCAGCCUUUAUGCUUAGACUGUUGUGCACAGCAUGUACCACUAUGGCGGAUCAAAAUGACAAUUAAGAUUCUUGUGUGUGUGUGUGUGUGUGUGUGUGUGUGUGUGUGUGUGAUCACAACAGCAUUCAUGCUUUUGUUACCUUACUUAAUCCCACAUCCCCAGAGAGUGCCUUCUAUUACUAUCUCCAUUUGGCAGGUGAAAGAGCUCCAGGCUGAAAGACAUUAACUUUCUCACCUCGGGUCACAUAGAAAAUUACAGAGCAAGGAUAGAAUCCCAAAAUAUUAGAUUCCAAGGUCUAAAUGUCAGGGCCUUUAAACUCUGUACCAAGAUGUCCCUUUCAGCUCAGAAGUAUCAUAUAAUUGAUAGAGACUUGAUGGGGCCUCAGGAGCUCACAUCCUGAUUGUUUCUAAGACCUUUGGAGAUGAGCUGACAUAGCAAACACUAGUGUCCAACUCAGCAGACAAACAAAAGACAAAGGUUGGAGCUUGGCAGAAAGUCAGAAGGAAAAGAUCAUUCCCCUGAUACUUCCAGUUCCCUUCCCACCCUGUCUGAGCAGCCCAUGGGAAGCUUCCCAACGUGCUUCCCUUUGCACAGGCCCUGAUCUCAUGGACUUGGGUAGGAUAUAAGCAGGUUUCCUUAGGCUGCUGCCUAUUAGAAUAAACUGGGGCACAGGGGUGGGUGUAAAUCCCCCCAAAAAUUAUAAAAAAGAAAAAUUAAAGGGUAAUGUCUUCAGACCAGGCUUCCCACUUGAGUCACUUAUAUAUGUGAAGUAUUUAGCACAAAUCCUUACACAGAAGCACUUUGAAAAGUUUUUAACUGGAAGUGUGAAGACGGGUGAAGCAGAUUUUGUACUUGUAUCAGUGAACUGAGUUUAAUAGAGCAAAAUGGUCCGUGGUGCUCCUCGGAAAACACAGGUAAGUAAAUUUGCCAUUGACUUUCCCAAGACCUGAGAGGUGGUUUGGUAUAUUUAUAUACAGAAAUCAUGGGUCAUUAACCUUCUUAAGGCUAGGCAUGAUGGCUGGCUCCAUUCCAUUUCCUUUUGCUUAGUGACCUCUAUGGUAUAAAGAUACUACUUACGUCUUAAACUGACUCUGAGUCUGUUUGGUAUAGGUUAGUCUCACUUUAAUCAUUAAUUUGUAGUGAGAUGGUCUGAUGCUGCUUGCAUUAAAAUGCUAAAUUCUAUACCCCAAGAUCUAAUUGAUCCAAGACCAGCAUAUCCUCACAUAUACCAGUGUAUACCAGCUUUUGCUGUAUAAACCUUACCUGACACCUCUUUUAUCCAUGAUUGGUUAGUAAAUAUGCCUACAGAAUAUAGCUGGGCAGAAGAGAGGUAGGUGGUGCUUCAGUUUCCAGACUUGGAGUCUGAGGCAGAGACCACAGAGGCCAGGCAGGGGUGGGGGAGAGGAGAAAGGAGGAAGCCACACUAGGGAAGGUGAAUCUUGAGUGCCAUGAGGACCAGCCUGUUGAGUAGGAGUGGCCUAAGCAGAAUAUGUCAAGUGACAUAUCAGGGUUAUUGACAGGGAAAUAGGUAAAAUAGCACAGAGGGUUAAUAUCUGCCUAGCUCUAGUGCUUUGAGGUUUGUUAUGAAUAUAAAGGUUUUGUGUCUUUUUGGGGGGAAUUAAAUGAUCUAAGAUGGGGUAGAGACCCCCGAAUAAUAUUUAUCACAACAGUGAUCAAAGCCCACAACUUUAAUCAAUUGUAUUUGAAUCAAGAAAGACUUUGAAAUUAAUAGCAAAGUAAUGGAAAUCCCCUAUAUAUAGGGACAUUAAGUUGACAGAGUAGGUUACAAAAUGGCAACCAGUCUUGGUGGGAACAAAGGGAGCGAUUGCCUCUGAAGAUGACAGCUGUUCAGCAAACAGAGGAAGAGGAAUGAGGUGCAUUUGUGUUUGAGAGGAUUAGAAAUCCACGUGAGAACACUGGGGAAAAACCACACAAACAUUCUGGUGAGAUCAAGUCAAAGAGGAUCUGCUUAUAUAAAGAUCAGUUCCUGAAAAGAUGGAGUCUAGAUAUACUCUUCCCAGUUACCUGCCAUUGUCUUGAAACAUGAUUGCCCUUAGAAGGCUAUCAAUGACAUGGCCAGAGAAGAAUGGUGGCUAAUGAUGACAUUUUCCCUUUACAUUCACAAUGAAGGAUGAUUUGUGGGUAGUGAGAUAUGCUGUAUUGAAAGUCAUGUGAUCUAUACAGAAUGCAGAGAGACAACAGCCAGCCCGAGAUCUCCCAGAUAACAGCAAAAGGAUGGGUUGGAGUUCCUAGCAAGGACAGGGCCAUUUUUCUCAAAAAAAAAAAAAAAAGCAUAAGUAACUUCAUUAGAGUACAAGAAAGUAAGCCCAGUCCAUCGAUACAAAAAUCAUAUAACAAGAAGAUCAACACAAUGUAGUGAGUUUUAGACACACCAAAGGGGUGUACACAGCAUGCAGAAUGGUAAUACGUCUCUUUAUGUACCAAAGCCUAUGGAUUCCAGAGAACUUAAAGAGUAACUUUCUGUGAUAAAUAUUAGAGCAUUAAACGUUUACAGUAGGCAAACUUGUACCUCGAAUUUUCUACAUUUGGGUUCACAUGGUAGGGGAUUUCUUUCUGUUCGUCAUAUAGGUAACAGCAUGGAGCAACUGAAUUUGGCUGGAGAGCUCCCAAUCCACUGUUCUUUACCUCUCUGUGGAGAUGGUCAUUUCAUAAUCUUCUAUCUUUUAUGAUCACCAGACAAACAAAUCCAUCCAUGAAGUAGGAUUCCUGUCUUCCAGCCUCAAUCGUCUCCCCGAGGCUGGCCAGCUGCCCCAAACUGGAAUGGAAUGUGGGAUUCCCUGUUCUGAUGGUCUCUUGAGUGAUGGGAUAAAACUGCAGGAGUGGACAGCUAUUUUGACAAGAGGGCUGAGGCACAGAAAACGUUUUGACAUAUCUCACGCCAAGACUCCAGUUUUAGGGGAUACUGUAUUUUCUUAUAAUAAAUUUCAUCCUUACAUUUUUAUUCUUGCUCAAGUGGGUCUCCACUUCUGCCAAAUAAGAGCCUGAACUAAUACAGAAACGGGAUUGAGCUAUUCGCAGAAUCUAUCCACUUUUCCUCCUGAACUAGGGGCCUAACAAAAUGAAUGUUUGCCAGGCAGAAUGACCCAAGUAUUCGGUUUGAAUACUGAUAAGCAUUUUCCACACAUUGCAGUUAGAUAUAAAAAAUCUGGUCUUAAAUUAAGAUUGGCGUAUCUGGGCUUCCAGAUGGUGACUUACAUCUUGAAGUAAAAUGAAAUGACUUCUGUCUCUUAUGGUAGUUCUGACAUCACCAUUUAUUUCAGAGUCAGAGUGUACUGUUAGCCGCUGCAUAAAACCUUCUCAAAAGGGACUAUUGUUGUGAGCUUUAGUAGGGUUAGGGGGACAAACCCAAUUUGGGAACAGGGUAUUAUAAAGGGUAGGAUUGAAAGCAAAGAAUUUCGGAAAUAGCUCUUCUGUUUCUUUGAAUAGCUCGAGUCACUGCUGAUAUUAUUUGGAUGAAGAUAAAAAAAUAUUAAAAAAGAAUAUGCUUUUAGAGUUGGCUAAUUAGAGGUUCAUGUCUCACCUCUGUCACAUAAACUUUGACUCAGUUACUUUUCUAAGCUUCCAUUUCCUCAUUUGUAGAAUGAAAAACCACAGUUUUUCUUUUCUAUAGAACUUUAAGAAGAAAUAUAAUAGAAGCUAUGGGCAUUGUAGAUAUUCAUUGGAUUGUAGUUACUAUUACUAGGCCAAACCAAGUUGUUAGAUUAUUAGAUUGUUUUUGCAUUAAUUCAUUGGUGCAUUCAUUAAUUCUACAAGGAUUUUGCUGUCGUUCUUAUUGUUUUGUUAUAUUAAUUCCUGUAUUAAUUCAUUUGUGCAUUCAUUAGUUCCACAAGGAUUUUGCUGUUGUUGUUAUUGUUUUUCUGUGCCUACUGUGAGCAAAUCCGUGGGCUGGAGACUGCAAGUAUGUUAAUGAAGAGAAGCAAGAUCCAAGUCUUCAUGAUAUUUAUGAUUCAGUGAGAAUUAGAAAUAACAAACAAACUAGACAGGGAACCUCAUGUUGUAGAACCCAUCAGGGCGAUGUCCUCACAGGGUCCCAGCUGAGUAGCAAGUGCCUCAGUGUUCUCUGUUCUUUGAAAUUCAGUGUUUAUAAACACUUCCCAUUGUUGUCUCAUGCUUAUUCUUUAACCACAUGUAAGAGCUACCUGGACCAUUCUCUACUGUCCACUGUGUGCACACUUGCCAUCUGUAUCUUUUUAGACUAAAUAAAUAAAUAAAUAAAUAAAUAAAUGGAGUAAAAGCUUGCAAUUUAGAAGUUGAGCUACUUGGGUUGACAUUGAUUCUCCCCAAGAGUCAUAAACUAUAUAAAUGAAACCCCAGUACCAGGCAUAAGAAACCCAUUUUUGAGUUGUUUUUGUCCAAGAAACUCCUCAAGCAGGCUAUUGCUGUUGCAUUUGGUUGCCUAUUGAAAGCACCAUAAACUUUAAACCCAGCACUCAGAGGAUCAGAGCUGAAUCUAACCCAAAAGCCUCCUUUCUGAGGAUCAAAUUCCACAGAACUGUCAGAUGCUAUGCAAGCUACUGAGGAAAGGAAGUAACUAAUAGUCCUGCAUAGCCUGUAGCCCACAAUGGGCACCAUAGCAAGAUAAAGAUGCAGUAGUGGCACUCAUAGCUUGGCAGUAAACAACGGCUGUCUUGGUGGAUUUAAGUCUGCUCAGCCAGAAGGAAACCAUGCCUGAUAUUGGAAAUCUAGUCAACUACUCAUAGUUAGCGAGAUCUUUGGGAAGAAUCUGCCACUAUCACUUUACUAAAUCAGUGUAAUUCCCAACUGCAUUCUAAGUGCUUAUCCGUCCACCUUCAGGUGAACUAUGGUUCCCAGCCCUCAGUAAAGAAACUUCUCUUUGCAUCAAACAUAUACUGUUACAGAGAAACACAACUGGUCAAAAUGAGAGAACAAUUGGUUGUGUUCAUUCCUAAUGGGUACAUUUACAAUACAACUCUUUCACCUAUGCUUCAGGCAACAGCACAGAAGAAGUAGAAAGAUAAGAGCUAUCAGAUCAGGAAAUCUGCUAUAAGAUUGUGUCUUCCAUAAAAGAUAGAGAAGCUUCACCCAGGCUGCUUAAACAAGACCUGACAAAAUAUAAAAACAGUAGAUAAGCUAAAAUGGAAGAGGAGAAUUCUCACAGUAUGCCAUCCAUAGACAACAAAACAGAGCAAAACAAAACUGUAGGUAACCAAGGGAUGCUGGCAGCAGGAGUAGUCUUUCUUCCUCAGGAUGAAUUCCUAUUUGGUUAUACAAUACUAGUGGUCAGUCACAUUGUAUAAGUAACACUAAAUGGAGUGAGAAGAUCAUAUUUUAGUAUUCAGUUAUGUUGCAUGUAUAUGUGUUAUAUACAUGCAUGUGUGUGUACCAAUAACAAUUAGGAAAUUUAAUAUUCAGAUAUAAUAUGUAUGCUGUACACAUAAAUACAUACAUACAUAUAUGUAUGCAUAUAUGUACUUGUGUGUGUACCAAUAACUAUUAGGGAAGAGGAGGCCAAAGGUUUGAUAGUAAGUUGGGGGAAGACAUGGGAGGAGUUGGAGGAAGAAAAAGAAUGGAGAGAAAUGAUAUAACUUUAUUUUAAUAAAAAUGUUAACUGAAAAACUUACAAUUUAAACUAAUAACAAAUGUGUUCACUUUGAAUAUUCAGGGAUCAAUUUUCUCCCUGUGGAGACUAAAGCCAAACAAAGCCAUUUCUGUCUCCACUAUGAGGUUUGCCCAGGAUUGACUGGGAACCUUGAACCUUGGCAUCAUUUUUAAACCUAGACAGGUUUACAAAUAAACAGGUCUAGUAUUUUCCAGAGGAUCCCUGGCUCAGCCUCCUCAUAUUUGCUUGUGUCUUUCACUCUCCUUUUUAAAAAUCAAUGGUUCCUUCAGUGCUCAAUCUAGGCAUUUCCUCAUCUGAUGGGUUGUGUUAUCUCAUUUAUUAAUUCAAUCAUCCUUGUAUACAAGGUCUUAGAAAUUUAUUGCCAAAUUGUUUGCCUAGUUCAGUUUUCAUUGGCCUUGGCCUAACAAGGUUGUACUUAGGCAUUCUUUCCUGGGAUGAAUUUCACAUCACCUGUGGGGGUCCAUACAGAACUCUAUAGGUUACACGGUUAGUGAUUAGUCAACGUGGACUUUUGAGCACACACUCAGAGGAACGUAGUGACUGAUAAGUAAUCUUUAGAACCAUGUGGAUCUCUUGACUACAGCACUCACCAGGCAGGAGUUUGAGCUUUUGGAUUAUUAGUCCCAGCAUCACUCAGCUCUCUGUAGACUCCGGUUAGCAUUCAUAACAGUCUUAUUUCUUCUUGCAUGCACAUUUUCGGUUUCAAACAUUUUAAAACCAGUAGGGAUAAACAGUGCAAGGUGACAUACACUCUUUAGAGAGUAUCAGCAAUUUGGCCAGGUCAUAAAAAUAUUCAACAAUGCAACACUAUCUUUGUCACAUCGCAUGUGCAUGUGUAGUAUACAUUUGUGUGCAUAUGUGCACACAGGUACAGAGGCCUAAAAUUAAUAUUAGGUGUCUCUAGCUCAUCUCUUGAGAUUCACUGAAGCUAGAGCUCAGUGGUUCCUAGACUGUCUGGCCAGUGAGGCUCUGAUAGCUCCCUUUCUCUGCCUCCUGGCUGCAAACACAGGCACACCUCACACUACUUGGCUUUUCACAGAGGCAUUGGAGAUCUCAACACAUAUCCUCAUGCUUGCACAACAAGCAUUUUCCCACUGGGCCAUCUUCGUAACCUAAUGCUUGCAAGAUUUAGAAAACAAAGGCCUGAUAAAUAACUUCUCUGAUUACUGGGGACACCUUAAGUAAAUCAGAUAGUCCUCUAUACUUGUGAUAAAAGUGGAGGAUACAUUCAUGUCUUAGACCAGAGAUCUCAAACUCUCUGUGCUUCAAGUUUUUCCAUAGAUGUAGGUCAGUUAAAAUCUAAUUUUAUAUAAGAAACUGGUGUUUUAGCUCCUUGAAAAAUAUCAGAAGUUUCUCAGCACAGGGCCUUCAUGCAUUCAAAGGAACAACUUACUAGAUGGUGGUGGCAGCCAUUAGUGACCUCAUUCCAAUUAAAACCAGCAUAUCCGUCGUGGGUUGCCCUGGUGCUGUUUAUAUUCUGAUGUUAAUUCUGCUUUCUCAAGAAAGGCAGCACAGACAGAGAGGAUCUCCUACUCAGGUGAUUUCAAGUAAACCUUCUCCCCAUUUUCAUUGGUCAAAUAUUGUCUAGAGCCUGUGAUUGGGCGGUGGAAAGGAAAGGUGGGGCUGGAGGAUUAGAGAGUAGGGGAGACAGGAAAGGAGAAAGAAGACAGAGGAAGAGGAGGUGGAAGGAAGAUGGAGCAGAGCCACAUGGCCAGGAGAAGCCACAAGUAGUAAGGGACCUCACAGCUGGGCAAGAGAGUAGUGUAGUGGUAAAUCUGCCCGAUCUAGGCAUGAAGUGUAUUAAUAUUGUAACUGAGGUUAUUGGGGUCGGAAAUUCGCUGCAACAUUUCCUCUCCAGCUUAUAGUCUCUGUCGCUCCGUCCUUGUCUCCAAUUUGGAGAUCUUAAGUAUUUUUAAUUUUCUAAAUUCCUUGUUCAUUUGGAGUUGUAACCCCUGGCUUAGGUGAUCUCAAGCAUGUUAACUUAAUAAACUCCACAGAAGUAGUACUUCUGAUCACCAAUAAACAAACAGAAGCUCAGGGAGAUGGUAGUUAUGUAACAGUCGACCUGUGCUGAAAAACAGCAAACAGGCAAACAAACACAACCAAAGGAAAGAAUAGCAAAACAAACAAGCAAAUGAACACACACACACACACACACACACACAUACACAUACACACACACACACACACACA